UGGGGCGAUCUGUCGCGCCUUCUCCCCCGAGAAGGUGAGGAACGUCCGAGCAACGCAGAGCACCAUACUUCCUAACGGGAAGCUGUCCGCGAGGGUGGAGUAGUGUAACAGAGAAUGACCGCCCUGCCUCAUGCAGGGUAAGGGUGAAAAGGUGAGGUAAGAGCUCACCGAGCCUAUAGCGAUAUAGGCUGCCGUACACCUUAUGGGUUGCAAGAUCAUGUAUACCAGCGCAACGAGGGUUGCUCGCCCCAGCUGGAGGGUAGAUCGCACCGAGGUAGGUGGUGACACCUAUCCCAGAUAAAUGACAGAUACUCUCUAGGGUAAAGCCUAGGGAGGACAGAACUCGGCUUAUAGCCCCACUG
This 362-nucleotide RNase P RNA is filed under the name uncultured Porphyromonas sp. RNAcentral's name for it is "Bacterial RNase P class A". It matches the Rfam family "Bacterial RNase P class A". From Rfam's summary of the family: Ribonuclease P (RNase P) is a ubiquitous endoribonuclease, found in archaea, bacteria and eukarya as well as chloroplasts and mitochondria. Its best characterised activity is the generation of mature 5'-ends of tRNAs by cleaving the 5'-leader elements of precursor-tRNAs. Cellular RNase Ps are ribonucleoproteins. The record is from RNAcentral. Lineage: Bacteria; Pseudomonadati; Bacteroidota; Bacteroidia; Bacteroidales; Porphyromonadaceae.